GGAGAGGUGGCAGAGUGGUCUAUUGCGGCGGUCUUGAAAACCGCUUCCCGCUUCGCGGGACGGGGGUUCGAAUCCCUCCCUCUCCGCCA
RNAcentral lists this transfer RNA (89 nucleotides) under Limisphaerales bacterium. RNAcentral's name for it is "Verrucomicrobia subdivision 3 bacterium (sediment metagenome) tRNA-Ser". It matches the Rfam family "tRNA". From Rfam's summary of the family: Transfer RNA (tRNA) molecules are approximately 80 nucleotides in length. Their secondary structure includes four short double-helical elements and three loops (D, anti-codon, and T loops). Further hydrogen bonds mediate the characteristic L-shaped molecular structure. tRNAs have two regions of fundamental functional importance: the anti-codon, which is responsible for specific mRNA codon recognition, and the 3' end, to which the tRNAs corresponding amino acid is attached (by aminoacyl-tRNA synthetases). tRNAs cope with the degeneracy of the genetic code in two manners: having more than one tRNA (with a specific anti-codon) for a particular amino acid; and 'wobble' base-pairing, i.e. permitting non-standard base-pairing at the 3rd anti-codon position. The record is from RNAcentral. Lineage: Bacteria; Pseudomonadati; Verrucomicrobiota; Verrucomicrobiia; Limisphaerales.